CAGUCGCCGCGGUAAUACGAAGGGUGCAAGCGUUAAUCGGAAUUACUGGGCGUAAAGCGUGCGUAGGCGGUGAGUUAAGUCUGCUGUGAAAUCCCCGGGCUCAACCUGGGAAUGGCAGUGGAUACUGGCAAGCUAGAGUGUGUCAGAGGAUGGUGGAAUUCCCGGUGUAGCGGUGAAAUGCGUAGAGAUCGGGAGGAACAUCAGUGGCGAAGGCGGCCAUCUGGGACAACACUGACGCUGAGGCACGAAAGCGUGGGGAGCAAACAGGAUUAGAUACCCCAGUAGUCCCUGUCUCUUAUAC
RNAcentral lists this ribosomal RNA (301 nucleotides) under uncultured bacterium. Its description in RNAcentral is "partial 16S ribosomal RNA". It matches the Rfam family "Bacterial small subunit ribosomal RNA", at positions 509 to 807 of the family's 1533-position model. The record is from RNAcentral.